UCAUUCAGGCUACGCUCUGCCUCUGGCUUUAUGUGUUCCUGCAUUAUUUGCUGCAACUGUGCUGCUUCUCUACAAAUGGAAAACAAUGAGGGAAUCUGAUGGUUCGACCAGCAGGAGGCAGUCAAGCAGCAGCAGCAAUAACAAUAGGAGACGGAGACGCACCGAGUUUUCUGCCUCAAAGUUUACAAACCGGACGCCUCCACCCGACGGUCAACAACAACUUUACUAUAACCUCUGAGGCCAACGGCAUUCCAGGAAUUAAAAUAAACGUUUUCAUUAAUAGAUUCAA
Molecule: long non-coding RNA, 289 nt
Organism: Poecilia latipinna (sailfin molly)
Lineage: Eukaryota; Metazoa; Chordata; Actinopteri; Cyprinodontiformes; Poeciliidae
Exons: 3
Source: RefSeq, a predicted model, not a curated record